GUACCUACGGGGGGCAGCAGUGGGGAAUAUUGCACAAUGGGGGGAACCCUGAUGCAGCGACGCCGCGUGAGUGAAGAAGUAUUUCGGUAUGUAAAGCUCUAUCAGCAGGGAAGAUAAUGACGGUACCUGACUAAGAAGCACCGGCUAAAUACGUGCCAGCAGCCGCGGUAAUACGUAUGGUGCAAGCGUUAUCCGGAUUUACUGGGUGUAAAGGGAGCGCAGGCGGGGCGGCAAGUCUGAUGUGAAAGCUCGGGGCUCAACCGCGGGACUGCAUUGGAAACUACCGAACUAGAGUGUCGGAGAGG
This 305-nucleotide ribosomal RNA is filed under the name uncultured bacterium. Its description in RNAcentral is "bacterial SSU rRNA". It matches the Rfam family "Bacterial small subunit ribosomal RNA", at positions 335 to 657 of the family's 1533-position model. The record is from RNAcentral.